Long non-coding RNA from Oncorhynchus keta (chum salmon), 960 nucleotides. RefSeq lists it as uncharacterized. Lineage: Eukaryota; Metazoa; Chordata; Actinopteri; Salmoniformes; Salmonidae. The transcript is spliced from 3 exons. The record is from RefSeq and is a predicted model, not a curated record.
GAUGCCUGAUACUAUAGACUCUGCCUUCUUCUAUGGCAGGGCUCAGGUGAGAGGAUGCCUGAUACUAUAGACUCUGCCUUCCUCUAUGGCAGGGCUCAGGUGAGAGGAUGCCUGAUACUAUAGACUCUGCCUUCCUCUAUGGCAGGGCUCAGGUGAGAGGAUGCCUGAUACUAUAGACUCUGCCUUCCUCUAUGGCAGGGCUCAGGUGAGAGGAUGCCUGAUACUAUAGACUCUGCCUUCCUCUAUGGCAGGGCUCAGGUGAGAGGAUGCCUGAUACUAUAGACUCUGCCUUCCUCUAUGGCAGGGCUCAGGUGAGAGGAUGCCUGAUACUAUAGACUCUGCCUUCCUCUAUGGCAGGGCUCAGGUGAGAGGAUGCCUGAUACUAUAGACUCUGCCUUCCUCUAUGGCAGGGCUCAGGUGAGAGGAUGCCUGAUACUAUAGACUCUGCCUUCCUCUAUGGCAGGGCUCAGGUGAGAGGAUGCCUGAUACUAUAGACUCUGCCUUCCUCUAUGGCAGGGCUCAGGUGAGAGGAUGCCUGAUACUAUAGACUGCCUUCUUCUAUGGCAGGGCUCAGGUGAGAGGAUGCCUGAUACUAUAGACUCUGCCUUCCUCUAUGGCAGGGCUCAGGUGAGACGAUGCCUGAUACUAUAGACUCUGCCUUCCUCUAUGGCAGGGCUCAGGUGAGAGGAUGCCUGAUACUAUAGACUCUGCCUUCCUCUAUGGCAGGGCUCAGGUGAGACGAUGCCUGAUACUAUAGACUCUGCCUUCCUCUAUGGCAGGGCUCAGGUGAGAGGAUGCCAGUUCUAAAGGUUUUACACAUCACAUAGAUCUGGAGCCAGUCCUAAAGGUUUUAUACAUCACAUAGAUCUGGAGCCAGACCUAAAGGUUUUACACAUCACAUAGAUCUGGAGCCAGUCCUAAAGGUUUUACACAUCACAUAGAUCUGGAGCCAGUCCUAAA